UAGGGAAUCUUCCACAAUGGGCGGAAAGCCUGAUGGAGCAACGCCGCGUGUGUGAUGAAGGGUUUCGGCUCGUAAAACACUGUUGUAAGAGAAGAAUGACAUUGAGAGUAACUGUUCAAUGUGUGACGGUAUCUUACCAGAAAGGAACGGCUAAAUACGUGCCAG
This 165-nucleotide ribosomal RNA is filed under the name uncultured bacterium. RNAcentral's name for it is "partial 16S ribosomal RNA". It matches the Rfam family "Bacterial small subunit ribosomal RNA", at positions 355 to 511 of the family's 1533-position model. The record is from RNAcentral.